This 253-nucleotide ribosomal RNA is filed under the name uncultured bacterium. Its description in RNAcentral is "partial 16S ribosomal RNA". It matches the Rfam family "Bacterial small subunit ribosomal RNA", at positions 524 to 776 of the family's 1533-position model. The record is from RNAcentral.
UACAGAGGGUGCAAGCGUUGUUCGGAAUUAUUGGGCGUAAAGGGAGUGUAGGCGGUUUGGUAAGUCUGCUGUGAAAUCUACGGGCUUAGCCUGUAACGUGCAGCGGAAACUGUCAGACUUGAGUGUCGGAGAGGAUAGGGGAAUACCCAGUGUAGAGGUGAAAUUCGUAGAGAUUGGGUGGAACACCAGUGGCGAAGGCGCCUAUCUGGCUGACAACUGACGCUGAGACUCGAAAGCAUGGGGAGCAAACAGG